GUUUAGAGAAAGUCUCUUCUAAAGGAAAGCCAGUCUAGGAAGAAGGUGUUGUCCAUGAUAAGCCUGUGUGGACUGCACAGGCUAAUCUGGAACAACUUUUCGCACAUGCAUUAAGCCCAGUUUUGCCAGAUGAAGGCUCUUAUUUUGCAGAAAUGGGAACUUUUUUAGCAUGAAGGUUACUGUGGUAUCAUUGUAAUUGGAAAGUCCCUGAUGAAGGUUACUGUGGUAUCAUUGUAAUUGGAAAGUCCCUGAUGAAGGUUACUGUGGUAUCAUUGUAAUUGGAAAGUCCCUGAUGAAGGUUACUGUGGUAUCAUUGUAAUUGGAAAGUCCCUGAUGAAGGUUACUGUGGUAUCAUUGUAAUUGGAAAGUCCCUGAUGAAGGUUACUGUGGUAUCAUUGUAAUUGGAAAGUCCCUGAUGAAGGUUACUGUGGUAUCAUUGUAAUUGGAAAGUCCCUGAUGAAGGUUACUGUGGUAUCAUUGUAAUUGGAAAGUCCCUGGUGCAAAUCCAACUGUUGUAGCAUCUUCACCUCUCCCACACAGACAGGACUUGUCACAUCCAGGAAAAGGACUUGAAAAAACAUUGACUUAUAAUGCAUUCAAGCAAAAAUUAUUAUUUUAUAUUCAUUCUCCCGCAAACUAAGUUUUGGGGAGUAUACAGGAAUCACUCUGCGGGUUGUUUAGUUGGUGGGUAGUUGGUUGGAUACUUAAGUUAUUGAACAUGUAUAAUUCUGUGUAUCAAAAUGAAACUUGAAGUAAGUAGUUUUAAUUCCAUAUGUUUAAAUUUAGAAGUGCAAGACUUUAUUUUCGUGUAUGUCACACAGUUUUAUUUAA
Molecule: long non-coding RNA, 831 nt
Organism: Dreissena polymorpha
Lineage: Eukaryota; Metazoa; Mollusca; Bivalvia; Myida; Dreissenidae
Exons: 3
Source: RefSeq, a predicted model, not a curated record